GUGGCUAUGUCAGAAAUUUAUGAGUUAGCUUUAAGCGUUAAUUAUGGGAGAUAUUCUCUGGUCACU
Molecule: transfer RNA, 66 nt
Filed under: Rhinebothrium fulbrighti
Lineage: Eukaryota; Metazoa; Platyhelminthes; Cestoda; Rhinebothriidea; Rhinebothriidae
Description: tRNA-Leu
Source: RNAcentral